Erigeron canadensis is the source of this 275-nucleotide long non-coding RNA. RefSeq lists it as uncharacterized. The transcript has 3 exons. Lineage: Eukaryota; Viridiplantae; Streptophyta; Magnoliopsida; Asterales; Asteraceae. The record is from RefSeq and is a predicted model, not a curated record.
GUCACAAGGAAGGAAAAAACCGAAAAUCUUCUCUCUCUCUCUCUCUCAAGAUGCAUCACAUCAAAAUUGGUAGUAUUGAUAACGGCUUGAGUCUCGAGGUGGAUGGGUCUUACACAUUUGGGACAAUUGUGGCCAACAUCUUAGAAAAGGAGAAAACAUUGACCUCCAACGCAAAGCAGCAGCCACCACAACAGCCAAAACACACAAAGCAACAACCAUUGCCGCAAAAGAUCGACCUGCUGAUGCCCUGAUGUGAUGAAAGAUUAACUGAUGGC